Molecule: ribosomal RNA, 472 nt
Filed under: uncultured bacterium
Lineage: Bacteria
Description: bacterial SSU rRNA
Rfam family: Bacterial small subunit ribosomal RNA
Source: RNAcentral
UGAGGAAUUUUGGACAAUGGGGGCAACCCUGAUCCAGCAAUGCCGCGUGAGUGAAGAAGGCCUUCGGGUUGUAAAGCUCCUUUGUCAGGGAAGAAACGGUAGUAGCGAAUAACUACUACUAAUGACGGUACCUGAAGAAUAAGCACCGGCUAACUACGUGCCAGCAGCCGCGGUAAUACGUAGGGUGCAAGCGUUAAUCGGAAUUACUGGGCGUAAAGCGUGCGCAGGCGGUUGUGUAAGUCAGAUGUGAAAUCCCCGGGCUCAACCUGGGAAUCGCAUUUGAGACUGCACGGCUAGAGUGUGUCAGAGGGGGGUAGAAUUCCACGUGUAGCAGUGAAAUGCGUAGAUAUGUGGAGGAACACCGAUGGCGAAGGCAGCCCCCUGGGUUAACACUGACGCUCAUGCACGAAAGCGUGGGGAGCAAACAGGAUUAGAUACCCCAGUAGUCCCUGAGCGGGCUGGCAAGGCGCAU